RNAcentral lists this ribosomal RNA (273 nucleotides) under unidentified marine bacterioplankton. Its description in RNAcentral is "partial 16S ribosomal RNA". It matches the Rfam family "Bacterial small subunit ribosomal RNA", at positions 71 to 339 of the family's 1533-position model. The record is from RNAcentral.
CACGAGUACUUGUACUUGGUGGCGACCGGCGCACGGGUGCGUAACGCGUAUGCAACCUACCUUAUACUAAGGGAGUAGCCCAGAGAAAAUUUGGAUUAAUACCCUCAUAGUAUCAUUUGAAAGGCAUCUGAGAAUGAUUAAAGAUUUAUCGGUAUAAGAUGGGCAUGCGUAAGAUUAGUUAGUUGGUGAGGUAACGGCUCACCAAGACUUCGAUCUUUAGGGGUUCUGAGAGGAUGAUCCCCCACACUGGUACUGAGAUACGGACCAGACUUC